GAUGAACGCUGGCGGCGUGCCUAAUACAUGCAAGUCGAGCGAACAGACGAGGCGCUUGCUCCUCUGACGUUAGCGGCGGACGGGUGAGUCACACGUGGAUACUCUACCUAUAAGACUGGGAUAACUUCGGGACACCGGAGCUAAUACCAGAUAAUCUAUUGAACCGUAUGGUUCAUUAGUGAAAGACGGCUUUGCUGUCACUUAUAGAUGGAUACGCGCCGCAUUAGCUAGUUGGUAAGGUAACGGCCUAUCAAGGCAACGAUGCGUAGCCGAACGGUGAGGCGGAUCGGCCACACGGGAACUUAGACACGGUCCAGGCGCCUGCGGGAGGCAGCAGUAGGGAAUCGGACGCAAUAGGCGAGAACCUGACGGAGCAACGCCGCGUGAGUGAUGAAGAUCUUCGGAUCGUAAAACUCUGUUAUUAGUGAUGAACAAAUGUGGAAUUAACUAUGCACUUCUUGACGGUACCUAGUCAGAAAGCCACGGCUAACUACGUG
Molecule: ribosomal RNA, 497 nt
Filed under: uncultured bacterium
Lineage: Bacteria
Description: partial 16S ribosomal RNA
Rfam family: Bacterial small subunit ribosomal RNA
Source: RNAcentral